CAGUCGCCGCGGGAAUACGUAGGGUGCGAGCGUUAAUCGGAAUUACUGGGCGUAAAGCGUGCGUAGGCGGUGAUGUAAGACAGAUGUGAAAUCCCCGGGCUCAACCUGGGAACUGCAUUAGUGACUGCAUCGCUGGAGUGCGGCAGAGGGGGAUGGAAUUCCGCGUGUAGCAGUGAAAUGCGUAGAUAUGCGGAGGAACACCGAUGGCGAAGGCAAUCCCCUGGGCCUGCACUGACGCUCAUGCACGAAAGCGUGGGGAGCAAACAGGAUUAGAUACCCGCGUAGUCCCUGUCUCUUAUAC
This 301-nucleotide ribosomal RNA is filed under the name uncultured bacterium. RNAcentral describes it as "partial 16S ribosomal RNA". It matches the Rfam family "Bacterial small subunit ribosomal RNA", at positions 509 to 807 of the family's 1533-position model. The record is from RNAcentral.